Mytilus californianus (California mussel) is the source of this 1018-nucleotide long non-coding RNA. RefSeq lists it as uncharacterized. The record is from RefSeq and is a predicted model, not a curated record. The transcript is spliced from 4 exons. NCBI's taxonomy places the organism in Eukaryota, Metazoa, Mollusca, Bivalvia, Mytilida, Mytilidae.
CUGUUCCCGACGUUUUAACGAAAAUUGCCGAAGUAAUAUGAUUGGUUCUUAGUCGACAAUUUUACUUACUCCUUCAUUGAGAGCGUUUAAUUUGCUACAUUAGAGUUGAAUAGAUCAGCGGUUUAUUCAGAAAAAGCAUCCAUUAAUUGAAUUCCAAUUUUCGGAAGAUGAAAACCCUGAUAUUAUUAUGUUGCCUUGUGGCUGCAAGUUUUGCUUCUCCUUUUAAAUUCAAAUUUAAGGAAGGAUCCGCCAUUUAUGAGGCGAUUGCCAAAACUACAUCGAUGGUACAAAAGAGAGACACUGUAAAGAGAGAUGCCUUUGCCAUGGCUUUUAGAUGGAUUGAUACAAAUAGGGAUGGCCACAUUGAUGGCAAUGAAUUUGCCACAUUUUAUGCAAAUGCAAACAUACCUGGACUGGACUACAGCAAGAAUCGAUGGAGACAAAUAUUCACCUUAGCCAUACCUCAAAUUGACACAAACGGAAAUGAAGAGCUAGAAAUUGGAGAAUUCCGUACGUUAGCAGAACGUGGAAUGAGAGAUAUGAGAAACUAUUAGAAGCAAAAUGUGACAACGUUCCACCCGUUAUUACAGUGACAUUGACUUAAAAGUCUGAUUCCAAAUUGACAAUUUUCAGUUCUGACUUUGAACAAAAUUUGUGUUUGUUUUUCAAAAAUGCUUAACACGUCAUUUGUCCGUUUUAACGGAAGCUACACUUCCUAAAUUCAAAUUCAUUUUCAACAAUUCUUUUACACAUAAAUGUGAAAUUUGCCUUUUUAUUUUCGCGUUUCAGAAUCUAAAGCCUGCUUACCUUUUUUUUCAAAGUUGAUUAUCAUUUCCUCUAUGGUGGAUGGUUACCUCUCUGGCAAUCAUACAAUGUCUUUUUUUUAUUAUUUUUAUACUAAUAAAAUUUAAAGAGUAUUAACCAAAACGUUGAUAUUUGUUGACGGUGUCUUUAUCAAAUAAAGUACAAGUAAAUUAUAGUUUCUAAUUGUGGAAGAACUAAUAAAAUUAAACACUUG